UUCCCGCGCGGGCGUGCGAAUCUGCCGCGGUGGCCAUUGGUUCUGGCUCAGCCCGGGCCCUGGAGGCCCAGCCGGCCCUGGGGAGAACUCUCUGGAAUUAAGAAACCAUGGAGGGGAGGGGAGAGGGAGCGUGGGGAGGGGAUACCGACCCAGGCCGGGGUGGGCAGAGGUGGUGGCCACUGUUGCUGGAGAAGAGAAAGGGCUGGAACAGAAGGCUGGGGCCCUUGGAGGACCCAAAUGCUCAUUGCUCAGGAGAGGGAGCGUGGGGAGAGAGGGCCAGCCCCAGUAGGACCUUGAAUCAGGGCGGCUGAGUAGGCGCUUCUCGGGGGUCCCUGACGUGAAGACCAGACCCAAGAGCGUCUCUCCACCCUCGUGCCAGUUUCCAGGGAGGAGAGCAGGGGCACGAGGGGCCACACCCCGCUGCCUGGCACUGGAGGAGCCCUAAGAUUUUAGACCCACGCUCUGAAGCGGCAGCUCCACCUUCAGCUGAAGACACUCCAAUCCCUAACAAAGGACACUUUUAAAAAAUAACAAAGGGUGAACAGAAUGAGCUUUUCACGCUCCUUUGUGGAAGGAAAACCUGUCCCCCAGCUAACUGCACCUGCUUCCGCCAUUUCUUUUGACAAUAAAAUAUGUCAAAGUUAA
Microcebus murinus (gray mouse lemur) is the source of this 645-nucleotide non-coding RNA. Lineage: Eukaryota; Metazoa; Chordata; Mammalia; Primates; Cheirogaleidae. The record is from RefSeq and is a predicted model, not a curated record.